RNAcentral lists this ribosomal RNA (438 nucleotides) under Yersinia bercovieri. RNAcentral's name for it is "bacterial SSU rRNA". It matches the Rfam family "Bacterial small subunit ribosomal RNA", at positions 52 to 479 of the family's 1533-position model. Lineage: Bacteria; Pseudomonadati; Pseudomonadota; Gammaproteobacteria; Enterobacterales; Yersiniaceae. The record is from RNAcentral.
CACAUGCAAGUCGAGCGGCAGCGGGAAGUAGUUUACUACUUUGCCGGCGAGCGGCGGACGGGUGAGUAAUGUCUGGGGAUCUGCCUGAUGGAGGGGGAUAACUACUGGAAACGGUAGCUAAUACCGCAUGACCUCGUAAGAGCAAAGUGGGGGACCUUCGGGCCUCACGCCAUCGGAUGAACCCAGAUGGGAUUAGCUAGUAGGUGGGGUAAUGGCUCACCUAGGCGACGAUCCCUAGCUGGUCUGAGAGGAUGACCAGCCACACUGGAACUGAGACACGGUCCAGACUCCUACGGGAGGCAGCAGUGGGGAAUAUUGCACAAUGGGCGCAAGCCUGAUGCAGCCAUGCCGCGUGUGUGAAGAAGGCCUUCGGGUUGUAAAGCACUUUCAGCGAGGAGGAAGGCAGUCGUGUUAAUAGCACGAUUGAUUGACGUUACU